UUAAUAGAAACCAAAAAGAGGUAUAUCACUGUUAAUGAUAUUAAUGAAUAUUAAUAAAUUCCUAUUAAA
This 69-nucleotide transfer RNA is filed under the name Phaenopsectra flavipes. Its description in RNAcentral is "tRNA-Asn". Lineage: Eukaryota; Metazoa; Arthropoda; Insecta; Diptera; Chironomidae. The record is from RNAcentral.